UAUUGCACUCGUCCCGGCCUGU
This 22-nucleotide microRNA is filed under the name Daphnia pulex (common water flea). RNAcentral describes it as "Dpu-Mir-92-P3_3p (mature (guide))". Lineage: Eukaryota; Metazoa; Arthropoda; Branchiopoda; Diplostraca; Daphniidae. The record is from RNAcentral. RNAcentral also lists the same sequence under 6 other names.